RNAcentral lists this ribosomal RNA (508 nucleotides) under uncultured bacterium. Its description in RNAcentral is "partial 16S ribosomal RNA". It matches the Rfam family "Bacterial small subunit ribosomal RNA", at positions 30 to 523 of the family's 1533-position model. The record is from RNAcentral.
AUUGAACGCUGGCGGCAUGCCUUACACAUGCAAGUCGAACGGCAGCGGGGGAGAAGCUUGCUUUUCCUGCCGGCGAGUGGCGAACGGGUGAGUAAUACAUCGGAACGUGCCCUGUAGUGGGGGAUAACUAGUCGAAAGAUUAGCUAAUACCGCAUACGACCUGAGGGUGAAAGUGGGGGACCGCAAGGCCUCAUGCUAUAGGAGCGGCCGAUGUCUGAUUAGCUAGUUGGUGGGGUAAAGGCCUACCAAGGCGACGAUCAGUAGCUGGUCUGAGAGGACGAUCAGCCACACUGGGACUGAGACACGGCCCAGACUCCUACGGGAGGCAGCAGUGGGGAAUUUUGGACAAUGGGCGAAAGCCUGAUCCAGCAAUGCCGCGUGUGUGAAGAAGGCCUUCGGGUUGUAAAGCACUUUUGUCCGGAAAGAAAUGGCUCUGGUUAAUACCUGGGGUCGAUGACGGUACCGGAAGAAUAAGGACCGGCUAACUACGUGCCAGCCGCCGCAGUAA